GAUGAAGAACGUAGCGAAAUGCGAUAAGUAAUGCGAAUUGCAGAAUCCGUGAGUCAUCGAAUCUUUGAACGCACAUUGCGCCCGCCAGUAUUCUGGCGGGCAUGCCUGUCCGAGCGUCAUUUCAACCCUCAAGCCCCCGGGCUUGGUGUUGGAGAUCGGCGAGCCCCCCGGGGCGCGCCGUCUCCCAAAUAUAGUGGCGGUCCCGCUGUAGCUUCCUCUGCGUAGUAGCACACCUCGCACUGGGAAACAGCGUGGCCACGCCGUAAAACCCCCCACUUCUGAAAGGUUGACCUCGGAUCAGGUAGGAAUACCCGCUGAACUUAAGCAUAUCAAUAAGCGGAGGA
This 344-nucleotide unclassified non-coding RNA is filed under the name soil metagenome. RNAcentral's name for it is "partial contains 5.8S ribosomal RNA, internal transcribed spacer 2, and large subunit ribosomal RNA". The stretch from base 1 to 119 matches the Rfam family "5.8S ribosomal RNA", at positions 35 to 154 of the family's 154-position model. The record is from RNAcentral.